Molecule: long non-coding RNA, 281 nt
Filed under: Lathyrus oleraceus (garden pea)
Lineage: Eukaryota; Viridiplantae; Streptophyta; Magnoliopsida; Fabales; Fabaceae
Description: Pisum sativum (pea) long non-coding RNA (PSAT_LNC009498)
Source: RNAcentral
UUAGAUGAUGAUUAAUCUUAACCUUCUUCCCAAGAAAUAUAUGUCCUACAUAAUUUACAUUGGCUUUUCGAUUUGUAGAACAAUUGUUUUUCUUUGCGCUUCAUCGAACUUGGACAAUCAUUUUUUAUAAUGACCAAUUCUCCCACACUCAAAGCAUGUCAUUUUUCUUCUUCUUUCUUUUUAUAAACCCACUUCUUUAGAGGAUUCAAUUUUCUGAAUUUCAUUAACUUUUUGUCUAAGUGUUUUAGAACACUCUUCAUCAUAUACUUAUUGUAGCGUCU